GAUGAACGCUGGCGGCGUGCCUAAUACAUGCAAGUCGAGCGAACGGACGAGAAGCUUGCUUCUCUGAUGUUAGCGGCGGACGGGUGAGUAACACGUGGAUAACCUACCUAUAAGACUGGGAUAACUUCGGGAAACCGUAGCUAAUACCGGAUAAUAUUUUGAACCGCAUGGUUCAAUAGUGAAAGACGGUCUUGCUGUCACUUAUAGAUGGAUCCGCGCUGCAUUAGCUAGUUGGUAAGGUAACGGCUUACCAAGGCAACGAUGCAUAGCCGACCUGAGAGGGUGAUCGGCCACACUGGAACUGAGACACGGUCCAGACUCCUACGGGAGGCAGCAGUAGGGUAUCUUCCGCAAUGGGCGAAAGCCUGACGGAGCAACGCCGCGUGAGUGAUGAAGGUCUUCGGAUCGUAAAACUCUGUUAUUAGGGAAGAACAUAUGUGUAAGUAACUGUGCACAUCUUGACGGUACCUAAUCAGAAAGCCACGGCUAACUACGUG
RNAcentral lists this ribosomal RNA (497 nucleotides) under uncultured bacterium. RNAcentral describes it as "partial 16S ribosomal RNA". It matches the Rfam family "Bacterial small subunit ribosomal RNA", at positions 28 to 507 of the family's 1533-position model. The record is from RNAcentral.